UUUGGGAAGUUAGUUUUAUGAAAUAAAAUUUGUUGGAAAUUUAUACGCCCGUAAAGCAUAAGUCGGGUCAGACCCGAUAGUUCUUUCAGGCUCCAACAUAAAAAACCGCGUGGGCGAUUGGGGAUUCAAAAUUUUCCCUUUCCCGGCAAAAAGGAAUUGCGGUUGAAGACCAUCACCAGAGCUUCCAUGGAAGAAGAAGACCCGAAUCCAAACGUGAAUUUGAUGCAGUGGACUAUAAAUUCAUUACCAUCCUAGCUGUGAUUGGCAUGCUUGGAGGACUAUUCUACUGAUCAGUUGCAGAUGACGAUUGAAUGUGAGACAUAGAGCUGCAUUAACAGUGGAAAAUGACAGGACUCUAAUAUAAGUCGGGCAAAUGCGUUCAUCUAACCAAAUUUCAGAGCAACCCGGCAGGCUAAUAUAUUUGUCUAUAUUAGGCUGUUAGCUGUUUCACUUUCUAUGUUAUGGUUUUAUUUCAAUGCAUUUUUGUCAACUCCAAUCUGAGGGAAUAACAAAUCAACUUUCAAACUAAAGAAUUCUUCUUUUUUUUUCUAGAAAAAUAAAAAUAAAAAUUUGGUGCGAAUCAAACUUUCAACAAGAAGUUGAAAGUUGAGUUAAUCAACCAACUGAGCUACUAAGAUUCCUCAACUAAAGAAGUGACAAGACUCAAAUACUUCUUUUUUUGUUUUUGUUUUGUGACAAUGGUGGUAUUGUUAGGAAUUUGCACGCAUGUCAAUUAUUUCAUCGGAAUACAAUACGAGCAACUCUGUCCCCAAGGCUUUCAUUGAGGCACAGGUACCUCAGCUCAUACACCGCACAAGUAGGAGCCAGGUCAUACAGCUAUUGUUGGUGAGCUCCAGUUUGCUUCGGAGCUUUCUGAGUCGGUUCCUUAUGUUUUGUUAUUGUACAUGAGUCAUGUGUGGGCGGGGGUUUAUCCCGACCCUAGUUAUGUCAUGUAUAUCCUAGAGGCUUUGUAGACAUAAGGAAGGGUAAAGUCAUGGAAGUUUAUAUAGUAACGUUAUAUUUGUAUAUGUGGUGGCCCCGACGGCCAAGUAUUAUAUAUAUAUAUUUGUGCGUGUUGUGCUGA
Molecule: long non-coding RNA, 1084 nt
Organism: Capsicum annuum
Lineage: Eukaryota; Viridiplantae; Streptophyta; Magnoliopsida; Solanales; Solanaceae
Exons: 4
Source: RefSeq, a predicted model, not a curated record